CGAAGACGGUUCGUCGAUCCGACAAGCGGGUGCGGAGUUAUCGCCAAAACAAGUACUUGAGGGUUUGGUUGCCCCGAGGAGUGGAAGCGACGUACGAGAAUCGCAGCGUUGGGUUUUCUAAUUUCGUGGCACUACCAAGAGGGCCGAGCGCGAGUUCACACGGCGAGGAUCGCGGUAAGGGCUUAGCGCCCUAGAUGCAUUAGUUUACUUUCCUUUGCAUUAGAGCCACCCUUUUGUACUUGAGAGUAGAUGAUGUAUAGGGUGUGAGGUAUCAUUUUGGAAAUGUAAACUCAUGUUGUAUUUGGCAGUUUAAAUGUAAAUCGAUGUAUUAAAGAGGUUGAA
Ananas comosus (pineapple) is the source of this 342-nucleotide long non-coding RNA. RefSeq lists it as uncharacterized. NCBI's taxonomy places the organism in Eukaryota, Viridiplantae, Streptophyta, Magnoliopsida, Poales, Bromeliaceae. The transcript is spliced from 2 exons. The record is from RefSeq and is a predicted model, not a curated record.